Molecule: ribosomal RNA, 406 nt
Filed under: uncultured bacterium
Lineage: Bacteria
Description: partial 16S ribosomal RNA
Rfam family: Bacterial small subunit ribosomal RNA
Source: RNAcentral
GACGAACGCUGGCGGCGCGCUUAACACAUGCAAGUCGAGCGAAGCGGCGGACGGGUGAGUAACACGUGAGUAACCUGCCUUAGACAUUGGGAUAGCCUCGGGAAACCGGGAAUAAUACCAAAUGGUCUAAGAUGGACUUGCGUCCCAUUAGCUAGUUGGGAGGUAACGGCCCACCAAGGCGACGAUGGGUAGCCGGCCUGGGAGGGUGAGCGGCCCCAUUGGAACUGAGAAACGGUCCAAACUCUACGGUAGGCAGCAGUGGGGAAUAUUGCACAAUGGAGGGAACUCUGAAGCAGCAACGCCGCGUGAACGAAGAAGGCUUUCGAGUCGUAAUGUUCUUUUAUAUGGGAAGCGGUACCGUAAGAAAAAGCCCCGGCUAACUACGUGCCAGCAGCCGCGGUAAUAC